RNAcentral lists this ribosomal RNA (500 nucleotides) under uncultured bacterium. Its description in RNAcentral is "partial 16S ribosomal RNA". It matches the Rfam family "Bacterial small subunit ribosomal RNA", at positions 29 to 523 of the family's 1533-position model. The record is from RNAcentral.
AUUGAACGCUGGCGGCAUGCCUUACACAUGCAAGUCGAACGGCAGCACGGGAGCAAUCCUGGUGGCGAGUGGCGAACGGGUGAGUAAUACAUCGGAACGUGCCCAAUCGUGGGGGACAACGUAGCGAAAGCUACGCUAAUACCGCAUACGAUCUACGGAUGAAAGCAGGGGAUCGCAAGACCUCGCGCGAAUGGAGCGGCCGAUGGCAGAUUAGGUAGUUGGUGAGGUAAAGGCUCACCAAGCCUGCGAUCUGUAGCUGGUCUGAGAGGACGAACAGACACAAGGGGACUGAGCAACGGGCCAGACCCCUCCGGGAGGCAGCAGUGGGGAAUUUUGGACAAUGGGCGCAAGCCUGAUCCAGCAAUGCCGCGUGCAGGAUGAAGGCGUUCGGGUUGUAACCUGCUUUUGUACGGAACGAAACGGUCCUUACUAAUACAAGGGGCUAAUGACGGUACCGUAAGAAUAAGCACCGGCUAACUACGUGCCAGCCGCCGCCGUAA